This 459-nucleotide ribosomal RNA is filed under the name uncultured bacterium. RNAcentral describes it as "bacterial SSU rRNA". It matches the Rfam family "Bacterial small subunit ribosomal RNA", at positions 8 to 466 of the family's 1533-position model. The record is from RNAcentral.
AGAGUUUGAUCAUGGCUCAGAUUGAACGCUGGCGGCAGGCUUAACACAUGCAAGUCGAACGGUAACAGAACUAGCUUGCUAGUUGCUGACGAGUGGCGGACGGGUGAGUAACGCGUAGGAAUCUACCGAAUAGUGGGGGACAACAGUUGGAAACGGCUGCUAAUACCGCAUACGCCCUACGGGGGAAAGGAGGGGAUCUUCGGACCUUUCGCUAUUUGAUGAGCCUGCGUGAGAUUAGUUAGUUGGUGGGGUAAUGGCUCACCAAGGCGACGAUCUCUAGCUGGUCUGAGAGGAUGAUCAGCCACACUGGGACUGAGACACGGCCCAGACUCCUACGGGAGNCAGCAGUGGGGAAUAUUGCACAAUGGGGGAAACCCUGAUGCAGCCAUGCCGCGUGUGUGAAGAAGGCCUUCGGGUUGUAAAGCACUUUCAGUUGUGAGGAAAGGUUAAGGGUUAAUA